CACACCUGUUCCCAUACCGAACACAGAAGUUAAGCAUCUCAACGCCGAUGGUACUUGGGUGGUAACGCCCUGGGAGAGUAGGAAGUUGCCAGGC
Molecule: ribosomal RNA, 94 nt
Filed under: Tissierella sp.
Lineage: Bacteria; Bacillati; Bacillota; Tissierellia; Tissierellales; Tissierellaceae
Source: RNAcentral